RNAcentral lists this ribosomal RNA (253 nucleotides) under uncultured bacterium. Its description in RNAcentral is "partial 16S ribosomal RNA". It matches the Rfam family "Bacterial small subunit ribosomal RNA", at positions 524 to 776 of the family's 1533-position model. The record is from RNAcentral.
UACGUAGGGUGCGAGCGUUAAUCGGAAUUACUGGGCGUAAAGCGUGCGCAGGCGGUGAUGUAAGACAGAUGUGAAAUCCCCGGGCUCAACCUGGGAACUGCAUUUGUGACUGCAUCGCUGGAGUGCGGCAGAGGGGGAUGGAAUUCCGCGUGUAGCAGUGAAAUGCGUAGAUAUGCGGAGGAACACCGAUGGCGAAGGCAAUCCCCUGGGCCUGCACUGACGCUCAUGCACGAAAGCGUGGGGAGCGAACAGG